RNAcentral lists this ribosomal RNA (473 nucleotides) under uncultured bacterium. RNAcentral describes it as "bacterial SSU rRNA". It matches the Rfam family "Bacterial small subunit ribosomal RNA", at positions 335 to 801 of the family's 1533-position model. The record is from RNAcentral.
ACUCCUACGGGAGGCAGCAGUAGGGAAUCUUCCACAAUGGGCGCAAGCCUGAUGGAGCAACACCGCGUGAGUGAAGAAGGGUUUCGGCUCGUAAAGCUCUGUUGUUAAAGAAGAACACGUAUGAGAGUAACUGUUCAUACGUUGACGGUAUUUAACCAGAAAGUCACGGCUAACUACGUGCCAGCAGCCGCGGUAAUACGUAGGUGGCAAGCGUCAUCCGGAUUUAUUGGGCGUAAAGAGAGUGCAGGCGGUUUUCUAAGUCUGAUGUGAAAGCCUUCGGCUUAACCGGAGAAGUGCAUCGGAAACUGGAUAACUUGAGUGCAGAAGAGGGUAGUGGAACUCCAUGUGUAGCGGUGGAAUGCGUAGAUAUAUGGAAGAACACCAGUGGCGAAGGCGGCUACCUGGUCUGCAACUGACGCUGAGACUCGAAAGCAUGGGUAGCGAACAGGAUUAGAUACCCUGGUAGGAUAGCG